UGGAAUGAAUGAACUGAAUCA
RNAcentral lists this unclassified non-coding RNA (21 nucleotides) under Chlamydomonas reinhardtii. RNAcentral describes it as "small RNA Cre_3219". Lineage: Eukaryota; Viridiplantae; Chlorophyta; Chlorophyceae; Chlamydomonadales; Chlamydomonadaceae. The record is from RNAcentral.